GAUAUUUUAAUUUGUACGAUAUUUCACUGAGUAAAAGGGUUGGAAGCAGAGAUACAAGUGGAGAGUAAAGGUCCUCAACUUAGAAAAACAGAUGAGGAAAGCAUUUAAAAAACUGUAUUUUCAGAUAUAUAGUUAAAACCAACCAACCUCGACAGCUUUGCAGGAGAGUCCGCUUAUGUGCUUAACAGGUGAGCGAGUGCUGUGCUUUCAUGGGCCUCUUCUUUAUGAAGCAAAGUGUGUAAAGGUUGCCAUAAAGGACAAACAAGUGAAAUACUUCAUACAUUACAGUGGUUGGAAUAAAAAUUGGGAUGAGUGGGUUCCGGAGAGCAGAGUACUCAAAUACGUGGACACCAAUUUGCAGAAACAGCGAGAACUUCAAAAAGCCAAUCAGUAAGUUUGUUUUGUGAACUGAAUAUUAAGGAGAAAUGCCUGUAGAUUAAUUCUGGACAUGGAAUGAACAAUGGAGAUCAUGUUGGCUGCCCUGCCUAUAAAAUGAUUCCUGGUACCUUUCAGCUGCUGUGUUACAGCUUUGACUUCAAGUGAUCAAGCCAUAUCUAGGGAGCAGUAUGCAGAGGGGAAGAUGAGAG
RNAcentral lists this small RNA (587 nucleotides) under Pan troglodytes (chimpanzee). RNAcentral's name for it is "processed transcript". Lineage: Eukaryota; Metazoa; Chordata; Mammalia; Primates; Hominidae. The record is from RNAcentral.